RNAcentral lists this transfer RNA (72 nucleotides) under Leptospiraceae bacterium. RNAcentral describes it as "tRNA-Arg". It matches the Rfam family "tRNA". Rfam says of the family: Transfer RNA (tRNA) molecules are approximately 80 nucleotides in length. Their secondary structure includes four short double-helical elements and three loops (D, anti-codon, and T loops). Further hydrogen bonds mediate the characteristic L-shaped molecular structure. tRNAs have two regions of fundamental functional importance: the anti-codon, which is responsible for specific mRNA codon recognition, and the 3' end, to which the tRNAs corresponding amino acid is attached (by aminoacyl-tRNA synthetases). tRNAs cope with the degeneracy of the genetic code in two manners: having more than one tRNA (with a specific anti-codon) for a particular amino acid; and 'wobble' base-pairing, i.e. permitting non-standard base-pairing at the 3rd anti-codon position. Lineage: Bacteria; Pseudomonadati; Spirochaetota; Leptospiria; Leptospirales; Leptospiraceae. The record is from RNAcentral.
GUGCCUGUAGCUCAAUGGAUAGAUCGCAGGUCUCCGGAACCUGAUGUCCGGGUUCGAUUCCCGGCAGGCACA